GCUUCAAUGACAACAACAACCUCUGAACUCUCUGAAGGAAAAAGAAUUGUACUUUUCAGGCACUGGUCUAAAGAAAGACUUGUACAUCCCAAAAGCUUGUCUGUUACACCAGCUGGGUUUGUCUGGACAAUGGAAGGCUGAAAUCCCAUGGCAACCUCUGAAUUACAGCUUCAGUUUCUGCCAGAACCCCUGCACCUCUGGCUAAAAUCAGCUCAAGUGAAGACAACCAAUACAAGUCCAGAGACCCUGAGCUGUCAGUUUGACUUAAUGUCAGGAGAUUGCCAAAGUUUCAGCAUCAGCAUCUGUGCUCACCAGCUUCAACAAGAUUCAGAAAAAAAGAAAAGACAGCAAAAAGCAGUUUGUAUUUUGUAAAUUACCUGUGUCGUGUGCAGCUUACAUACAGGGGCGUUGAUGUAUGCAAUAGAGAGUUUUGAGCAGAGCUGCAGCUUGAGGUGUGUUUCCCAACUUGGAGACCUCGUUUUGGGCCCAAAAUUGCUGAAUGCUUCAGUGCUAAUCCUUUGUGUCUCGUGCAGCACCAAACCCCUCAUUAAUGUGGUAUCAAAAAAAUAAAAGUGUGUUCUCCCCCCUAGCUUUUUACUAU
This 601-nucleotide long non-coding RNA is filed under the name Chloebia gouldiae (Gouldian finch). RNAcentral describes it as "Erythrura gouldiae (Gouldian finch) lncRNA (ENSEGOG00005012055.1)". The record is from RNAcentral. Lineage: Eukaryota; Metazoa; Chordata; Aves; Passeriformes; Passeridae.